This 144-nucleotide microRNA precursor is filed under the name Loxodonta africana (African savanna elephant). RNAcentral's name for it is "miRNA (ENSLAFG00000030321.1)". The stretch from base 46 to 96 matches the Rfam family "mir-1302 microRNA precursor family". Lineage: Eukaryota; Metazoa; Chordata; Mammalia; Proboscidea; Elephantidae. The record is from RNAcentral.
CAGAACACCCAGUUGCAUUUGAAUUUCUGAUGAACAAUGAAUACAUUUUUAUGUAAGUAUGUCCCAUGCAAUAUUUGGGACAUACUUAUACUAAAAAACUAUUCAUUGUGUAUCUGAAAUUCAAAUGUAACUAGGAGUCUUGUA